CUUGUCGCCUCGUCGACAGGUCGCGCCAGGUCGCGCGGAAUCUCGCGUGUCCGUGCGCCACGACCGACGACGGGAGACGGGAGGACUAAAAAAUGGCCGUCGACGUCGUCACCGACGUCGUCUCGGGGACUUUUCACCAAGAAGACGCGCGAUCGCGUCCGGAAACGAGCCGCGAAUUCUAACCUCGCGACCGCACGCGACUCGAGGAUGACGGAGAAGGAAAAAUCGCGCGAGAGUCACCUGAAGGCAGGGAACGCGCCGUGAACGUGGCAGCACUGCGCUCCGACCGCGAGAUUCGAAUGCCACGGGACUCGCGGCAAGCGGCAGGCAGAUCCGACGGGGAAGAAGAUACAAUCCACGUGAAUCCACACAUGGGACGCACAAUCACAAUCGGGAGAUGGCGCAAAGUAUUAUCUUAAUUAAAGAUGCGACUUGAGAUAAAAAAAAUGAUGAAUUUAUA
Temnothorax curvispinosus is the source of this 460-nucleotide long non-coding RNA. RefSeq lists it as uncharacterized. The record is from RefSeq and is a predicted model, not a curated record. Lineage: Eukaryota; Metazoa; Arthropoda; Insecta; Hymenoptera; Formicidae. The transcript has 2 exons.